CACUGUCACUCCUACGGGAGGCAGCAGUGGGGAAUAUUGCACAAUGGGCGCAAGCCUGAUGCAGCCAUGCCGCGUGUAUGAAGAAGGCCUUCGGGUUGUAAAGUACUUUCAGCAGUGAGGAAGGUGGAUAUGUUAAUAGCAUAUUCAUUUGACGUUAGCUGCAGAAGAAGCACCGGCUAACUCCGUGCCAGCAGCCGCGGUAAUACGGAGGGUGCGAGCGUUAAUCGGAAUUACUGGGCGUAAAGCGCAUGCAGGUGGUUUGUUAAGUCAGAUGUGAAAGCCCCGGGGCUCAACCUCGGAAUAGCAUUUGAAACUGGCAGACUAGAGUACUGUAGAGGGGGGUAGAAUUUCAGGUGUAGCGGUGAAAUGCGUAGAGAUCUGAAGGAAUACCGGUGGCGAAGGCGGCCCCCUGGACAGAUACUGACACUCAGAUGCGAAAGCGUGGGGAGCAAACAGGAUUAGAUACCCUGGUAG
RNAcentral lists this ribosomal RNA (474 nucleotides) under uncultured bacterium. RNAcentral's name for it is "bacterial SSU rRNA". It matches the Rfam family "Bacterial small subunit ribosomal RNA", at positions 325 to 793 of the family's 1533-position model. The record is from RNAcentral.